UCAUAGUAUCCCUUGGAGGCAGAUAGGAUUUUGCACCUUAGAGUCAUCUUACUACUUUAAUAGGUGCUGCUCAGCCCUUGGAUUCAGUUAUCUCAGAGACCGUGGCUUUCUGGCUGUUCAUCUCUUAGAGUGGCUGCUUGUCACAAUACUGUCUUCCUUGCGUUAGGCAAA
This is a non-coding RNA of Equus caballus (horse), 171 nucleotides long. NCBI's taxonomy places the organism in Eukaryota, Metazoa, Chordata, Mammalia, Perissodactyla, Equidae. The record is from Rfam.